Molecule: transfer RNA, 72 nt
Organism: Ovis aries (sheep)
Lineage: Eukaryota; Metazoa; Chordata; Mammalia; Artiodactyla; Bovidae
Rfam family: tRNA
About the family: Transfer RNA (tRNA) molecules are approximately 80 nucleotides in length. Their secondary structure includes four short double-helical elements and three loops (D, anti-codon, and T loops).
Source: Rfam
UCACUAGUGGUCCAGUGGCUAAGACUCUGCACUUCCAAGGCGGAGGCCCAGGUUCCAUCCCUGGUCAGGGAA